AGUGAACGCUGGCGGUAGGCCUAACACAUGCAAGUCGAACGGCAGCACAGGAGAGCUUGCUCUCUGGGUGGCGAGUGGCGGACGGGUGAGGAAUACAUCGGAAUCUACUCUGUCGUGGGGGAUAACGUAGGGAAACUUACGCUAAUAUCGCAUACGACCUACGGGUGAAAGCAGGGGACCUUCGGGCCUUGCGCGAUUGAAUGAGCCGAUGUCGGAUUAGCUAGUUGGCGGGGGAAAGGCCCACCAAGGCGACGAUCCGUAGAUGGUCUGAGAGGAUGAUCAGCCACACUGGAACUAAGACACGGUCCAGACUCCUACGGGAGGCAGCAGUGGGGAAUAUUGGACAAUGGGCGCAAGCCUGAUCCAGCCAUACCGCGUGGGUGAAGAAGGCCUUCGGGUUGUAAAGCCCUUUUGUUGGGAAAGAAAUCCAGCUGGCUAAUACCCGGUUGGGAUGACGGUACCCAAAGAAUAAGCACCGGCUAACUUCGUGCCAGCCGCCGCCGUAA
Molecule: ribosomal RNA, 506 nt
Filed under: uncultured bacterium
Lineage: Bacteria
Description: partial 16S ribosomal RNA
Rfam family: Bacterial small subunit ribosomal RNA
Source: RNAcentral